UAAUACUGGAUAGGCAAUUAUUCCUGUAAUGGUUUUUUGUUUAAAUGUUUUUUCGCCUAAGGAUGGGUCUGCGGCCGAUUAGGUAGUUGGUUAGGUAAUGGCUUACCAAGCCUUUGAUCGGUACGGGUUGUGAGAGCAAGAGCCCGGAGAUGGAACCUGAGACAAGGUUCCAGGCCCUACGGGGUGCAGCAGGCGCGAAACCUCCGCAAUGUGAGAAAUCGCGACGGGGGGAUCCCAAGUGCCAUUCUUAACGGGAUGGCUUUUCUUUAGUGUAAAAAGCUUUUGGAAUAAGAGCUGGGCAAGACCGGUGCCAGCCGCCGCGGUAACACCGGCAGCUCUAGCGGUAGCAAUUUUUAUUGGGCCUAAAGCGUCCGUAGCCGGUUUAAUAAGUCUCUGGUGAAAUCCUGUAGCUUAACUGUGGGAAUUGCUGGAGAUACUAUUAGACUUGAGACCGGGAGAGGUUAGAGGUACUCCCAGGGUAGAGGUGAAAUUCUGUAAUCCUGGGAGGACCGCCUGUUGCGAAGGCGUCUAACUGGAACGGUUCUGACGGUGAGGGACGAAAGUUAGGGGCGCGAACCGGAUUAGAUACCCGGGUAGUCCUAACUGUAAACGAUGCGGACUUGGUGUUG
Molecule: ribosomal RNA, 629 nt
Filed under: uncultured archaeon
Lineage: Archaea
Description: bacterial SSU rRNA
Rfam family: Archaeal small subunit ribosomal RNA
Source: RNAcentral